RNAcentral lists this ribosomal RNA (465 nucleotides) under Vreelandella stevensii. RNAcentral describes it as "partial 16S ribosomal RNA". It matches the Rfam family "Bacterial small subunit ribosomal RNA", at positions 338 to 795 of the family's 1533-position model. Lineage: Bacteria; Pseudomonadati; Pseudomonadota; Gammaproteobacteria; Oceanospirillales; Halomonadaceae. The record is from RNAcentral.
CCUACGGGUGGCUGCAGUGGGGAAUAUUGGACAAUGGGGGGAACCCUGAUCCAGCCAUGCCGCGUGUGUGAAGAAGGCCCUCGGGUUGUAAAGCACUUUCAGUGAGGAAGAACGCCUGGUGGUUAAUACCCAUCAGGAAAGACAUCACUCACAGAAGAAGCACCGGCUAACUCCGUGCCAGCAGCCGCGGUAAUACGGAGGGUGCGAGCGUUAAUCGGAAUUACUGGGCGUAAAGCGCGCGUAGGUGGCUUGAUAAGCCGGUUGUGAAAGCCCCGGGCUCAACCUGGGAACGGCAUCCGGAACUGUCAAGCUAGAGUGCAGGAGAGGAAGGUAGAAUUCCCUGUGUAGCGGUGAAAUGCGUAGAGAUCGGGAGGAAUACCAGUGGCGAAGGCGGCCUUCUGGACUGACACUGACACUGAGGUGCGAAAGCGUGGGUAGCAAACAGGAUUAGAUACCCGUGUAGUC